AGAGUUUGAUCAUGGCUCAGAUUGAACGCUGGCGGCAUGCUUUACACAUGCAAGUCGAGCGGCAGCGCGGGGGCAACCCUGGCGGCGAGCGGCGGACGGGUGAGUAAUGCAUCGGAACGUAUCCCGUAGUGGGGGACAACCCAGCGAAAGCUGGGCUAAUACCGCAUAUGCUCUACGGAGGAAAGCGGGGGACUUCGCAAGGAGCCUCGCGCUAUGGGAGCGGCCGAUGUCCGAUUAGCUAGUUGGUGGGGUAAAGGCCUACCAAGGCGACGAUCGGUAGCUGGUCUGAGAGGAUGAUCAGCCACACUGGGACUGAGACACGGCCCAGACUCCUACGGGAGGCAGCAGUGGGGAAUUUUGGACAAUGGGGGCAACCCUGAUCCAGCCAUGCCGCGUGCGGGAAGAAGGCCUUCGGGUUGUAAACCGCUUUUGGUCGGGAAGAAAGGGCUCCCCUAAAUACGGGGGGUUGUUGACGGUACCGGCAGAAUAAGCACCGGCUAACUACGUGCCAGCAGCCGCGGUAAUACGUAGGGUGCGAGCGUUAAUCGGAAUUACUGGGCGUAAAGCGUGCGCAGGCGGUGAGUUGUGUCUGCUGUGAAAGCCCCGGGCUCAACCUGGGAAUGGCAGUGGAAACUGGCUCGCUGGAGUGUGGCAGAGGGGGGUGGAAUUCCGCGUGUAGCAGUGAAAUGCGUAGAGAUGCGGAGGAACACCGAUGGCGAAGGCAGCCCCCUGGGCCAACACUGACGCUCAGGCACGAAAGCGUGGGGAGCAAACAGGAUUAGAUACCCUAGUAGUCC
This 797-nucleotide ribosomal RNA is filed under the name uncultured bacterium. Its description in RNAcentral is "bacterial SSU rRNA". It matches the Rfam family "Bacterial small subunit ribosomal RNA", at positions 8 to 796 of the family's 1533-position model. The record is from RNAcentral.